CCUACGGGAGGCAGCAGUGAGGAAUAUUGGUCAAUGGCCGCAGGGCUGAACCAGCCAAGUCGCGUGAGGGAUGACGGUCCUAUGGAUUGUAAACCUCUUUUGUCAGGGAGCAAAGGGCGCCACGUGUGGCGCUUUGCGAGUACCUGAAGAAAAAGCAUCGGCUAACUCCGUGCCAGCAGCCGCGGUAAUACGGAGGAUGCGAGCGUUAUCCGGAUUUAUUGGGUUUAACGGGUGCGCAGGCGGAAUGUCAAGUCAGCGGUAAAAUUUCGGGGCUCAACCCCGUCGUGCCGUUGAAACUGGCGUUCUUGAGUGAGCGAGAAGUAUGCGGAAUGCGUGGUGUAGCGGUGAAAUGCAUAGAGAUCACGCAGAACUCCGAUUGCGAAGGCAGCAUACCGGCGCUCAACUGACGCUCAUGCACGAAAGCGUGGGUAUCGAACAGGAUUAGAUACCCGAGUAGUC
Molecule: ribosomal RNA, 459 nt
Filed under: uncultured bacterium
Lineage: Bacteria
Description: partial 16S ribosomal RNA
Rfam family: Bacterial small subunit ribosomal RNA
Source: RNAcentral